GACGAACGCUGGCGGCGUGCCUAACACAUGCAAGUCGAACGCUCUCUCGCAAGAGAGGGAGUGGCGGACGGGUGAGUACCACGUGGGUACCUGCCUCAAGGUGAGGAAUACCACCGGGAAACCGGUGACAAUACCGCAUAUCUUCUUCCCAGAAGAAAGUCGCAAGACGCCUUGAGAUGGGCCUGCGCCCGAUUAGUUAGUUGGUGAGGUAAUGGCUCACCAAGACCGCGAUCGGUAGCUGGUCUGAGAGGAUGAUCAGCCACACUGGGAUUGAGAA
RNAcentral lists this ribosomal RNA (277 nucleotides) under uncultured bacterium. Its description in RNAcentral is "partial 16S ribosomal RNA". It matches the Rfam family "Bacterial small subunit ribosomal RNA", at positions 28 to 325 of the family's 1533-position model. The record is from RNAcentral.